Molecule: ribosomal RNA, 407 nt
Filed under: uncultured bacterium
Lineage: Bacteria
Description: partial 16S ribosomal RNA
Rfam family: Bacterial small subunit ribosomal RNA
Source: RNAcentral
GACGAACGCUGGCGGCGUGCCUAAUACAUGCAAGUAGGACGCAGUUGCGAACGGGUGAGUAACGCGUAGGUAACUACCUAUUAGAGGGGGAUAACUAUUGGAAACGAUAGCUAAUACCGCAUACUAGUAGAUGGCCCUGCGUUGUAUUAGCUAGUCGGUAGGGUAAUGGCCUACCUAGGCAACGAUACAUAGCCGACGUGAGAGGGUGGUCGGCCAAACUGGGACUGAGACACGGCCCAGACUCCGACGGGAGGGAGCAGUAGGGAAGUUUCGGGAAUGGGGGGAAACCUGACCGAGCAACGCCGCGUGAGUGAAGAAGGUUUUCGGGUCGUAAAGCUCUGUUGUUAAGGAAGCGGUACUUAACCAGAAAGGGACGGCUAACUACGUGCCAGCAGCCGCGGUAAUAC